UCAUUGCUUACAAUAUUUGCGCCGGGUGUACUCGUGACUCCACUUGGGGCGUUAAGCAUAAUCGUAAGUUCAGUGUUGGCGCACUUUGUGCUCAAGGAGCGGCUUGAGAAGCUCGGGGUCCUUGGCUGUGUGUCGUGCAUAGUAGGUUCAGUUGUUGUUGUCAUGCAUGCUCCUGAAGAGCAUAUGCCUAACUUUGUCAAGGAAAUCUAGAACCUAGCUACUCAACCAGGUGAGUCAUUGCAACCCAGUCUUGCGCACGACAGUUCGCUGGAGUUGCAGUUCUCACAGAAUCUCUCCAUCCUGGGGUGUCGAUCGUUGGUAGGGUUUCUAGCAUAUGUGGUGACAGCAUUGUUUCUUGUGGGAGCGCUAGUGCUCUUCUUUGAACCUCGAUACGGUUAGACUAACAUCCUGAUAUAUCUGGGUAUCUGCUCUUCAAUGGGAUCGCUAACGGUCGUGAGCAUCAAAGCCAUUGGUGUUGCCAUAAAGCUUACGUUGGAUGGGGUGAAUCAGGCUGCUUAUCCAUACACAUGGCUUUUUCUUAAUUGUUUGUGGGGUUUCUCAAAUAAAUUACCUGAACAAGGUAUGGACAUCC
Molecule: long non-coding RNA, 592 nt
Organism: Zea mays
Lineage: Eukaryota; Viridiplantae; Streptophyta; Magnoliopsida; Poales; Poaceae
Exons: 3
Source: RefSeq, a predicted model, not a curated record